GUUUGAUCCUGGCUCAGGAUGAACGCUAGCGGCAGGCCUAAUACAUGCAAGUCGAACGGUAACAUGUCCUUCGGGAUGAUGACGAGUGGCGCACGGGUGCGUAACGCGUAUGCAACCUACCCAUUACAGAGGGAUAGCCCCGAGAAAUCGGGAUUAAUACCUCAUAAUAUCACAUGACCGCAUGGUCGAGUGAUUAAAACUCCGGUGGUAAUGGAUGGGCAUGCGUAACAUUAGUUUGUUGGUGAGGUAACGGCUCACCAAGACUACGAUGUCUAGGGGUUCUGAGAGGAUUGUCCCCCACACUGGUACUGAGACACGGACCAGACUCCUACGGGAGGCAGCAGUAAGGAAUAUUGGACAAUGGGCGAAAGCCUGAACCAGCCAUGCCGCGUGAAGGAUGACGGCCCUACGGGUUGUAAACUUCUUUUAUACAGGAAGAAAAUACCUUACGUGUAAGGUACUGACGGUACCGUAUGAAUAAGCAUCGGCUAACUCCGUGCCAGCAGCCGCGGUAAUACGGAGGAUGCAAGCGUUAUCCGGAUUUAUUAGGUUUAAAGGGUCCGCAGGCGGACUUUUAAGUCAGUGGUGAAAUCCUGCAGCUUAACUGCAGAACUGCCAUUGAUACUGAAAGUCUUGAGUGUGGUUGAGGUAGGCGGAAUGUGUUGUGUAGCGGUGAAAUGCUUAGAUAUAACACAGAACACCGAUUGCGAAGGCAGCUUACUAAACCACUACUGACGCUCAUGGACGAAAGCGCGGGGAGCGAACAGGAUUAGAUACCCUGGUAGUCCGCGCCGUAAACGAUGAUCACUCGUUGUGCACGAUACACAGUGCGUGACUGAGCGAAAGCAUUAAGUGAUCCACCUGGGGAGUACGUUCGCAAGAAUGAAACUCAAAGGAAUUGACGGGGGCCCGCACAAGCGGAGGAACAUGUGGUUUAAUUCGAUCAUACGCGAGGAACCUUACCCGGGCUUAAAUGUAGAAUGACUGCUCCCGAAAAGGAGCUUUCUUCGGACAGUCUACAAGGUGCUGCAUGGUUGUCGUCAGCUCGUGCCGUGAGGUGUUGGGUUAAGUCCCGCAACGAGCGCAACCCCUAUCUUUAGUUGCUAGCAGGUAAUGCUGAGGACUCUAAAGAAACUGCCGGUGCAAACCGUGAGGAAGGUGGGGACGACGUCAAAUCAUCACGGCCCUUACGCCCUGGGCUACACACGUGCUACAAUGGCGAGUACAAAGGGCAGCUACCUGGUGACAGGAUGCUAAUCUCUAAAGCUCGUCUCAGUUCGGAUUGAAGUCUGCAACUCGACUUCAUGAAGCUGGAAUCGCUAGUAAUCGCGCAUCAGCCAUGGCGCGGUGAAUACGUUCCCGGGCCUUGUACACACCGCCCGUCAAGCCAUGGAAGCCGGGAGUGCCUAAAGUCGGUGACCGCAAGGAGCCGCCUAGGGUAAAACUAGUAACUAGGGCUAAGUCGUAACAAGGUAACCGU
This 1480-nucleotide ribosomal RNA is filed under the name uncultured prokaryote. Its description in RNAcentral is "partial 16S ribosomal RNA". It matches the Rfam family "Bacterial small subunit ribosomal RNA". The record is from RNAcentral.